This 281-nucleotide long non-coding RNA is filed under the name Helianthus annuus (common sunflower). Its description in RNAcentral is "sRNA HanXRQr2_Chr06g0265131". The record is from RNAcentral. Lineage: Eukaryota; Viridiplantae; Streptophyta; Magnoliopsida; Asterales; Asteraceae.
GGUAGUAUCUGACACCCUUGAGGGUUUGGGUGUUAUAGGUAGUGCUGCGGCUGCGGGUGGAACUGCUGUGGUUCCCCCCGUUGUUGGUGAGAAAAGAGGACCAGAGUAGAAGGCUGCUGGUGGUGGUGAACCGAAGCGUCGGAGACUGCAGACCAAGAGAGUUGCUCCGGCGCAAAAGAAACCUGCAGUUGCUGCUGAAUCCCGAGAUGCAGGGUAUUCUUUCUUUGACUUCCCUUCGUCUCCUCUGCAUACCGCUGCUGCGGGUGCGGGGAUACUGGUAA